RNAcentral lists this long non-coding RNA (4271 nucleotides) under Homo sapiens (human). RNAcentral's name for it is "non-protein coding LINC00910:13". Lineage: Eukaryota; Metazoa; Chordata; Mammalia; Primates; Hominidae. The record is from RNAcentral.
GUUGUGUUAGGAAGGAGGACGGGAAUGGUAAAUGCUGACGCUACAGGCGGCAGUCUGUGCCUCAGAGAGAAAAUUUAUCCCAACCUUGCUGGGGGCCUUGACGCCCAUCUUCCUCCAGAGCACCCCGACAGUCACCCCGCCCUCUGGUGUCCUCCCACCCCGAGCCCGAUCUUCCCCCUUCACGCCUGCCCCGGGCCAAUAGCCUCCUAACUGCGUCCUCUCUGAUUGCGUGUGUCGUGCUCAUUACGCCCUAUCCGUCGUUUCUUCGCUCCACAAACGUUUACUGAGCGCCUUCAACUUGCCAGGCACUAAUUAGACUAGCGCAGAGAAACGGGGAUAAGUACUGAUGAGGGUCCCAGCCCUCAGCGAUCGGAUUUCAGAGGGGGAGAUAAAGGACUGCCCAGAAGGGUGGUGAGUGGAGUAGUUGAUAUAAACAACGAGGUGCGAUGAAAUACACAGGAGGGCUGCUAAUCACAUAUGGGGUGGGUGCCGAGGGCCCUUAAUUAAGGGAGGCUUCCUGGACGGGUGACACCCAAGCGGAGUCCUGACGACCCGCGUCAGAAGUAGUCAGGCGAGGAGGAGGGUAAAGGAAUCCACGUCCCAAGCAGAGAAGCAGCUUUCCCUACACAGCACAGGACACGGUCCGCGCACAGAAGCCGCAGGAGACGCAGGCACAGGGGCUGGGGAGAAUCCUUGCUGGGCCCUCGCCGUCCAUGCGCCGCCUCCCUCUGCCCGGUGUCUGGUGUCAGCCUCCUGCCUGGCAGAGGAACUCCAGCCCCUGCUCCCCGAAGCUCCUCCAGGCCUUCUGCUUCCCUGACUCGGAAUGGGCCCGCUGUCCAGUGGGUACAAGGCUGGUCUCCCCGCCCACUGGUGACGACGUAAAGAUCCAGCUCAGCCUGGUUUCCCCUGGUGAUGAUAUCUUGCGACUCGUCUUUCUCCAGGAAAACAGGGACCGCUCUCCGCCUACAGGUCUCUUCCACAGACCUAUCUUGUUUUCACCCCCUGUCUCUUUUGGUUCAGUCUUUUCGCUCAUACAAACAAGGAAGUCGCCCCUAGCCCAGCCGCGGCUCCUUAGCUGGAGGCGGGCCCGGGGGUGGAGUCAACCGCGGUGGCCACGCCUCCUGGGAAAGGGCAGGGCAUGCAAAUUCGAAAUGAAAGCCCGGAAACCCCGGAACUAGAACUGGUAUGGAGUCUCACUCUGUCGCCCAGGCUGGAGUGUAGUAGCGCAAUCUUGGCUCACUGCAACCUCGGACUCCCAGGUUCAAGAGAUUCUCCUGCAUCAGCCUCCCAAGUAGCUGGGACUACAGGCACGUGCCACCACGCCCGGCUAAUUUUUGUAUUUUUAAUAGAGACGGGGUUUCUCCGUGUUAUCCAGAAUGGUCUCGAUCUCCUGACCUCGUGAUCCACCUGCCUCGGCCUCCUAAAGUGCUGGGAUUACAGGCGUGAGUCACCGCGCCCGGCACGCCCGGCUAAUUUUUUUGUAUUUUUAGUAGAGAUGGGGUUUCACCGUGUUCCCCAGGCUGGUCUCGAGCUCCUGAGUCGAGACGGGAUUUCUCCGUGUUUGCCAGAAUGGUCUUGAUCUCCUGACCUUGUGAUCCACCCGCCUCGGCCUCCCAAAGUGUUAGGAUUACUGGCGUGAGCCACUGCGCCCGGCAGAUUUUUCUUUUAAAACGUGGAGAAUAAGAAAUCAGCCCGAGUGUGUAAUGGCGUCAAUAUUGGUGUGGACAAGACAAAGUGAAUGAGAUCUCUUCAACUACCUGUGAAAACUGAUGUGAUGAAAAGGGGAAUUUGAAGGAGCCAUUCCAGAAGACAGGGCGAAAACUGAAGUGCAAUCAGGGCCAAGAAAAACAGAAAUAGCAGGACCUGGAGUUGCAUAGGUUGAAUAGUUGAAUAGGCUGCUCUCCUCAGCUGGCAGGAAACCUGGCAGCCUCCUGGUGCCCAAGGACUGAAAACCUUAGAAGCACCUGGAGUUGGCAGCCUUGGCAUGGUCAGGUUGGCACCUCUGGAGGUGCCCAGGCUUCCCUGGCAGCAUUGUGAGCAGUGGAUGGUGUUGAAGGGCAGCCAGAGGAGGAAUGGAACACAUGCUCCUUGCUAACCACACGGACAAGGCCACGUUCACAGGUACACAAAGGCAACGCAGUUGCUCAGGUGCUUCGGUAUCACAGCCAAGACCCCUUCGGGGGAAGCUAGUCGGAUACUGGGACCCACAUUCCAGACUACUGAGCCGCGGUCGCGCCCUCGGCUCCGUUUCUGCUCCCUCCACCCCACGAGGACGGGGGUGGAAGGCCACCUUCGAUGGGUGCAUCCUCCACGAUGACCUGCUAACAAAGGUGCAUGGAUUUCAGAGUCUGAUUGGCCUACAACAGCAUUUGGCUUGUGGAGACAGUGGUUCCCUGAUGAAAAACUGCCAUGAUGGGAAUAGAAACAAUCAGAGGAAACUUCCGUGAGUUCCCAGGACACAUCCACCCACCUCCUCCACGUGUAACCACCACCUCUACCUUCCCCUCUGGUGCUGUGGAUGAGCCAUCCGUGCUCCUGGCAAAGGCCCACCUGCCACUUGGGCACAGGAACCCAUCCAUCCCUCCUUACCUCUGGUAACUCUCCCUCUCUCUCUCCUGCAUCCUUCAUAUUCUCUGGGUUGUAUUCUCUUCCAGCCCCCACCCCCUGCCCACCUCCAGCAUGUAAAAGUGCUGUUAUUGUUUCCACUUUAAAACAAACCCUAAAAAUAAGUAAAUAAAAUAAACCCUACCCUGACCCCACUUCACUCUAUAGUUACCAUCUCAUUUCCCUUCUUUUAACAGGAAAACUCCUCCAAACACUUGUCUAUAUUUGUCCCUGUCAUUCUCUCUCUCUCCCCCCUCUCUCUAUUUUUUAUUUUAUUUUAUUUUAUUUAUUUAUUUAUUUGAGACGGAGUCUCACUCUGUCACCCAGGCUGGAGUGCAGUGGCAUAAUCUUGGCUCACUGGAACCCCUACCUCUUGUGUUAAAGCAAUUCUCCUGCCUCAACCACCUGAGUAGCUGGGAUUACAGGCGCCCACCACCUCGCUGGGCUAAUUUUUGAAUUUGUAAUUGAGAUGGGGUUUCACCAUGGUAGCCAGGCUGGUCUCAAACUCCUGACCUCAAGCGAUCUGCCCACCUCCGUCUCUCAAAGUGCUGGGAUUAGAGGUGUGAGCCACCACGCCCGGCCUAUUUAUUUUUUUGAGACAGAGUCUCCCUCUGUUGUCCAAGCUAGAGUGCAGUGAUACCAUCUCGGCUCACUGCCACCUCUGCCUCCCAGGUUCAAGUGACUCUCCUGCCUCAGCCUCCCUAGUAGCUGGGAUUACAGCCAUGCACCACCACACCUGGCUAAUUUUUGUAUUUUUAGUAGAGAUGGGGUUUCACCACGUUGGCCAGGGUGGUCUUGAGCUCCUGACCUCAGGUGAUCUGCCCACCUCAGCCUCUCAAAGUGCUGGGAUUACGGGCAUGAGCUGCUGUGCCCAGCCUCAAUUAUUUUAAUCUUUGAAUAACUUCGGACUUGCAGAAAAGUUAAAAGACUUACAUGGAGAACUUCUCUACCCUCUUCCCCAUCCCCGCAAGGUACACAGUUGGUAAAGCGAGAAGUCUGGGGUUCAGUGACACACUUCUUAACUCCCAAGUUCGUGCUCUUUCUUUUCUCUCUCUCUCUCUCUCUGUUGUCUCUCCCUCCCUCCUUCACUCCCUCUCUCUCCCCUUGAUGGCCACAUUUACUUUAUAAUUUUCUCUCUCACUCUUUCUCUGUCUCACUCUCUCUUACACAACACACACACUCAUAAGAAGACACCUAUAUACAUUUUUUUCCUGAACCAUUGGUAAGUAAUUUGCACACAGGAUGUCCCUUCACCCCCCAGUCCACCAAUACUUCGGUGUGUUUCCUAAGAACAAAGGCCUUCUGGAAGUUUCACAUUAAUUCCAUACUGGAUCUACAGUCCGAGUUCAGAUUUCACCAAUUGUCCCAAUAAAGUCCUUUAGGUUUUUCUGGCCCAGGAUCACUUGUCACUUUUGGUUGUCAGGUCUCUUUAAGUCUCCUUCAGCCUUAUGUGUUGUCGACCUUUUUUUUUUGAGACAGAGUCUCACUCUGUUCCCCAGGCUGGAGUGCAGAGUGGUGCUAUCUUAGCUCACUGCAACCUCUGCCUCCCGGGUUCAAGAGAUUCUCCUGCCUCAGCCUCCCAAGUAGCUGGGAUUACAGGCCCCUGCCACCACACCAGAGUAAUUUUUGUAUUUUUAGUAGAGAUAGGGUUUCACCACAUUGGUCAG